This is a non-coding RNA of Anas platyrhynchos (mallard), 3408 nucleotides long. Lineage: Eukaryota; Metazoa; Chordata; Aves; Anseriformes; Anatidae. The record is from RefSeq and is a predicted model, not a curated record.
CAUUAAGAGCUGUCAUAUUGCUUUUGGCAUUCAGAUGCAGCCAGAUUGCACACAUUUAUUUAUUUUUUUUUAUCUCAGAGGAAAAAAAUCCUGUCUAACCACUGCAGAUUGAAGAUGUUAAGUUUCCAGAUAAUUCUUUUGGGUCCUUUGCCAAUGGGCCACCAGUCACAUAGCAAUGUGAAGAAAAAAACUCCAUGAAAAGAGCAGAUGGUAUGGGGUAGGUCACUGAGCAGUUGAACUUCAGAAGAAAAAUGCCACACUUAGCUUCAGCUGCAUAGCAUUUAUUUUACUCUUUCUCUGUUAGCAAUGUGAUUUUUUUUAAUGCAAAACAGUUGUGACAGUAGAACUCCUAGUAUGGAUGAAGGAAGAGUUGUAGCUAGAUACACCAUACCAUACAUUCUAAACGUAUUUAUGUCGGCAUAGCUGCAUUCAUCUGUGCUUUGAUGAGCAGGCAAGUCCAUGGCUAGUAAUUCUUUGCUUAUUCUUGCUUUAUUGGCUGUCCUUUAAUUGAGGAUCUUACUGUUUACCCGGGGUUGCUGGCUGGUUUGUUAAGCUAUUUUUGCCAAGUCACUAUAGGAAAAGAAUACCUCAUUCCUCUUCCUAACAAUAGCUCUUAGGAAGUUCUCCUCCAAGACAGCUGGGUUCAGUGAGGGACACAUGCUUCUUUCAUCCUUAAUUAGAGGAUGGAAAUCUGGGAAGUAUCAAAGAUAUUUCUACUGUCACCAUGGUUUCUAAGCUCAUCAGAGAAACUGUGUGAGGUUGUUGCUAGCUUGGAGAAGUGGUUUAUCUAGUCCAAGGCAACAAAAAGCUAAAUGUUGGCAAAGUUGUACAAAUACCUUCUUCAGGAUAUGGGAAUGGAGGGAAGGGAGCUGAACAAUGAUCAAUGUUGUCCUCCCUAUGUUAGGACAACUAUUGACAAUCAACAUCAAGUCACAAAUGAACGCCUUGAUAAGGGGAAUCAGUCAUUUCCCUGCUUGACAACUGGGUGUUUGUGAUCCCUGUCUGAGCUGCAGAGUCUGUCUGAGGAGACAAGAAGUUGCGGUCAAGUCCAGCCCAGGAGGUACUGGCUCGUUGUAAGACACCAAGGAGAAGGUUUGCUUUCUUCAAGUCUCUUGGAAAAAAGCACCAGCCUCAACCAAAAGAACUGAGAGAAGCACAGUCUGGAGUUCUCUACUGCCUUAGAGCUCAAGUAAUGUAAGACUCAAAUACCAAUUUUCUUUCUGCCUAAAUCAUGAAGAAAUGUAACCUAAGUUUCUGCUACUUUGGAGAGUUCUUGAAAGCCUGAUCCAUGUGUGAAAGAGGACACCACUUCCACCAGAUCUAGACAAACUUGGAUAAGAAGCUUGGAUGUUAACUAGAUCCUGAAGAUGAAAUGAUAACACCCUCAUCUUUAAAAUCUCAGCUCAGACUACUCACUGUUUGCCUGUCCUGAGGUGAGACGAUAUGACUUCAUUCUGGUGAGAAGAGGUCUGAGAGAUCUCCCUCUGAUUUCUGUGCCUUUGAAGUUGGACAGAAAUGAGUCAAGGUAUACACUGCUCAGAAGAAUGAGGAAAGGUAUAUAUUAUGCAGCAGGAAGAACGUCCAGUGUCUAGAUUCCUAUCUGCAAAGAGGAUUGAAGAAGAAGGCAACCAGCAGCUCGCUUCCCUCAUGCCCCUAAUUUUGGCAAAGUCUCCUCACCAAAGUGGGAAGUAGCAGGCUGCCUACCUGAUCUUGAUGCUUUUACUCCACUGCUUCUGUGCAGGAGAGUGAAGAAAGUGACUGCCUGCAGACCAGCUGAAUGAAAGGGUUGCCUCUGAAGGGCGACAAGGCUGCCCACGUGCAGCUAGCCUUUGGCAGAGCCUCCUGUUACGUAGCACCCUGUGCAUCUUGCGCUGCAGUGAAUUCCCUGCUUUCUUCUCUCAGCAGUCUUCUUGUUACCUACUGUUCUGAUUAGUCAUAGCUUCACCCUGAAGUCUUUUUAUAAUUCAUUCCAACAUAAUACGCCUAGGAGAUUAAACAUGGCAGAGUCUCAAUGUGUUUGGUAGAAUCUGGUGGGUGCCCACAUCCUUCUUGUAUCGUCAUCCUGUACCAAUGUUUUCCACAGUGUGGGCCUGAGACUUGGUGUGGAAAUCCUGUGUGGGAAACUUGUAGAAUGAAACAAUCUUCCAUGGAAUGAUGAGUUGUCAUUGUUCUUUACAGAAAUUGCAAAUGUUCACCUGUUUUGGAAAUCAGGCUACUUUUCUGGGAUCCUGCGCAUCCUAUAAGCAUCUGAAAAAUUUGAAAGUUGUGGCAUUUAGAUGUUAUAUUCUUUUACUGCCAAGUUAGGAGAGAGAGCUUUAGAAAUAGACUAGAGCAAAGAACUCAGCAUAUCCUUCCUUCUCCACAUGUCAAUCCAACAACUGUGCAGUACCUUCUAAGGCCCAGCCUGCAGUGAGUUUUUAUAAAACAAACACCACCUCAGGUAAGAGUGACACAAUACAUAAGCAGUGGAAGUGCUGAUGGCACAUCUGUGCAGAAGCUUUCCAUGCAAUGCUUUGGUUUCCCAGAAAUGAUACAAGGAGAGUAAGGAGAAAAAAAGAAAACCUUAAGUAAAAAUCAGCACAUGAUUUGCAUGGUUUAGCAAAACGUGGCUCCUGUCACAGGCUGGCUGACUGCAGCUUAAAAUAACUUAUUUAAGAAUCAGAGGCAAUUUGUCAUUCCUUUAAAAAAAACAACUGCUAGAUUAUUAGGAAUAAAACAAACUGGGUCUAGCCAGGGCUUCAAUUCCACCUCUGACUUGUUAAGAGGAGAUUUUACUAUUCACGCGGUAAUGUGACAAUUAUUUAAAUGUUGCAGGAGAAAAUACAGUAAACUUUGGCAAUUCAUAGGAAAGAUGCAAACCUAUAUAUUAAAGUAGAUAAAUACCUGCCAUGCUUCUGGUGUCUCCAUUAAGCUGAACAGUAUAGUCAGGAUACCAGCCUCGUGUCUGUCCCCCUGGCAAUGAUCCCUGCUUUUGGUGUCCCUCAGUCUGGCCCUGUAAUGCCAUAGGAAGGAAGAUGCUGGAGAGAAGAAGGAGCAGAAGGGGAAAGAGCAAAGCAGCACCAGGCACACAGCACAGCCUUCGCUCUGUCAGCAUGUCAAGAACAGGCCAUUAAGAAGAGGAAAUGUCCUCUAUCAGAACAUAAAGGCCCAAUUUCUCUGUACAACAAGCACAUCCAUGUCAUACGGAGUCUCAGAUGCAGCUCUGCCUAUAUGCAAGACUGAUCUUAUUAUUCUGGGAUCUCUCAUUCAUCAUCAUUACAGUCGGGUUCCUGCAGCUUCUUAGGGAACAUACUCAUAUUUCUGAUUAACAAAUGCUUCACCUUUCUGAUUUAAUCUAUUAUUUUGGCUAUCUAGCCUGUCUAAUCUCAGGCUUGUCUCUUUAUCAGCAUUAUUUAUACAGCACAAAAU